Molecule: ribosomal RNA, 465 nt
Filed under: Vreelandella stevensii
Lineage: Bacteria; Pseudomonadati; Pseudomonadota; Gammaproteobacteria; Oceanospirillales; Halomonadaceae
Description: partial 16S ribosomal RNA
Rfam family: Bacterial small subunit ribosomal RNA
Source: RNAcentral
CCUACGGGCGGCUGCAGUGGGGAAUAUUGGACAAUGGGGGGAACCCUGAUCCAGCCAUGCCGCGUGUGUGAAGAAGGCCCUCGGGUUGUAAAGCACUUUCAGUGAGGAAGAACGCCUGGUGGUUAAUACCCAUCAGGAAAGACAUCACUCACAGAAGAAGCACCGGCUAACUCCGUGCCAGCAGCCGCGGUAAUACGGAGGGUGCGAGCGUUAAUCGGAAUUACUGGGCGUAAAGCGCGCGUAGGUGGCUUGAUAAGCCGGUUGUGAAAGCCCCGGGCUCAACCUGGGAACGGCAUCCGGAACUGGCAAGCUAGAGUGCAGGAGAGGAAGGUAGAAUUCCCGGUGUAGCGGUGAAAUGCGUAGAGAUCGGGAGGAAUACCAGUGGCGAAGGCGGCCUUCUGGACUGACACUGACACUGAGGUGCGAAAGCGUGGGUAGCAAACAGGAUUAGAUACCCGUGUAGUC